UAAGCGGCGGACGGGUGAGUAACGCGUGGGUAACCUACCCUGUACACACGGAUAACAUACCGAAAGGUAUGCUAAUACGGGAUAAUAUAUUUGAGAGGCAUCUCUUAAAUAUCAAAGGUGAGCCAGUACAGGAUGGACCCGCGUCUGAUUAGCUAGUUGGUAAGGUAACGGCUUACCAAGGCGACGAUCAGUAGCCGACCUGAGAGGGUGAUCGGCCACAUUGGAACUGAGACACGGUCCAA
This 242-nucleotide ribosomal RNA is filed under the name uncultured bacterium. RNAcentral describes it as "partial 16S ribosomal RNA". It matches the Rfam family "Bacterial small subunit ribosomal RNA", at positions 92 to 334 of the family's 1533-position model. The record is from RNAcentral.